Molecule: ribosomal RNA, 468 nt
Filed under: uncultured bacterium
Lineage: Bacteria
Description: partial 16S ribosomal RNA
Rfam family: Bacterial small subunit ribosomal RNA
Source: RNAcentral
GACGAACGCUGGCGGCGGGCUUAACACAUGCAAGUCGAACGGAAAGGCCCUGCUUUUGUGGGGUGCUCGAAUGGCGAACGGGUGGGUAACACGUGAGUAACCUGCCCUUGACUUUGGGAUAACUUCAGGAAACUGGGGCUAAUACCGGAUAGGAGCUCCUGCUGCAUGGUGGGGGUUGGAAAGUUUCGGCGGUUGGGGAUGGACUCGCGGCUUAUCAGCUUGUUGGUGGGGUAGUGGCGUACCAAGUCUUUGACGGUUAGCCGGCCUGAGAGGGUGACCGGCCACAUUGGGACUGAGAUACGGCCCAGACUCCUACGGGAGGCAGCAGUGGGGAAUAUUGCACAAUGGGCGGAAGCCUGAUGCAGCAACGCCGCGUGCGGGAUGACGGCCUUCGGGUUGUAAACCGCUUUCGCCUGUGACGAAGCGUGAGUGACGGUAAUGGGUAAAGAAGCACCGGCUAACUACGUG